GAUGAACGCUAGCUACAGGCUUAACACAUGCAAGUCGAGGGGCAGCAUGGUCUUAGCUUGCUAAGGCCGAUGGCGACCGGCGCACGGGUGAGUAACACGUAUCCAACCUGCCGUCUACUCUUGGACAGCCUUCUGAAAGGAAGAUUAAUACAAGAUGGCAUCAUGAGUCCGCAUGUUCACAUGAUUAAAGGUAUUCCGGUAGACGAUGGGGAUGCGUUCCAUUAGAUAGUAGGCGGGGUAACGGCCCACCUAGUCUUCGAUGGAUAGGGGUUCUGAGAGGAAGGUACCCCACAUUGGAACUGAGACACGGUCCAAAAUCCUACGGGAGGCAGCAGUGAGGAAUAUUGGGCAAUGGGCGCAGGCCUGAACCAGCCAAGUAGCGUGAAGGAUGACUGCCCUAUGGGUUGUAAACUUCUUUUAGAAAGGAAUAAAGUCGGGUAUGUAUACCCGUUUGCAUGUACUUUAUGAAUAAGGAUCGGCUAACUCCGUG
This 490-nucleotide ribosomal RNA is filed under the name uncultured bacterium. Its description in RNAcentral is "partial 16S ribosomal RNA". It matches the Rfam family "Bacterial small subunit ribosomal RNA", at positions 28 to 507 of the family's 1533-position model. The record is from RNAcentral.